RNAcentral lists this long non-coding RNA (399 nucleotides) under Homo sapiens (human). RNAcentral describes it as "non-protein coding lnc-NBPF1-10:2". Lineage: Eukaryota; Metazoa; Chordata; Mammalia; Primates; Hominidae. The record is from RNAcentral.
UCCCACUCCUGCUGCUUCUGACUCAAUACUUAGGGGUCCCUGGGUGCCCGGGCCUUGGCAGGAGGAUGUGGCAGAUGCUGAAGAGUGUGCUGGUCGCUGUGGGCCCUUAAUGGACUGCUGGGCGUUCCACUACAAUGUGAGCAGCCAUGGUUGCCAACUGCUGCCAUGGACUCAACACUCGCCCCACUCAAGGCUGUGGCAUUCUGGGCGCUGUGACCUCUUCCAGGAGAAAGACUACAUACGGACCUGCAUCAUGAACAAUGGGGUUGGGUACCGGGGCACCAUGGCCACGACCGUGGGUGGCCUGUCCUGCCAGGCUUGGAGCCACAAGUUCCCGAACGAUCACAAGUACAUGCCCACGCUCCGGAAUGGCCUGGAAGAGAACUUCUGCCGUAACCC